CCAGACUCCUACGGGAGGCAGCAGUGGGGGAUAUUGCACAAUGGGGGGAACCCUGAUGCAGCGACGCCGCGUGGGUGAAGAAGUAUUUCGGUAUGUAAAGCCCUAUCGGCAGGGAAGAAAUUGGACGGUACCUGACUAAGAAGCCCUGGCUAACUACGUGCCAGCAGCCGCGGUAAUACGUAGGGGGCAAGCGUUAUCCGGAUUCACUGGGUGUAAAGGGAGCGUAGACGGCCAUGCAAGCCUGGAGUGAAAGCCCGGGGCUCAACUCCGGGACUGCUUUUGAAACUGUGUAACUGGAGUGCAGGAGAGGUAAGCGGAAUUCCUAGUGUAGCGGUGAAAUGCGUAGAUAUUAGGAGGAACACCAGUGGCGAAGGCGGCCUGCUGGGCUUUUACUGACGCUGAGGCUCGAAAGUGUGGGGAGCAAACAGGAUUAGAUACCCUAGUA
This 445-nucleotide ribosomal RNA is filed under the name uncultured bacterium. Its description in RNAcentral is "bacterial SSU rRNA". It matches the Rfam family "Bacterial small subunit ribosomal RNA", at positions 331 to 792 of the family's 1533-position model. The record is from RNAcentral.